AUGGCCGAUCCAAGCUUCUUCGUCGGAAUCGUUGGGAACAUAAUCUCCAUACUCGUCUUCACAUCUCCAAUUGCGACCUUCCGGAGGGUCGUGCGGAACAAGAGCACGGAGGAGUUCCGGUGGCUGCCGUACGUCACCACCCUCCUCUGCACCUCCCUCUGGGCCUUCUAUGGCCUCCUCAAGCCCAGCGGCCUCCUCAUCAUCACCGUCAACGCCGCCGGCGCCGCUCUACAGGCCACCUACGUCGCCCUCUACCUCGCCUAUGCCCCCAGGGACACCAAGGUGAAGAUGGCGAAGGUGGUGGUGGGCGUGAACAUCUGCUUCUUUGCCGCGGUCGUCGUGGUGGGGCUGGUGGCGCUGCACGGCGCCGUCCGGCUGUUCGCGGUGGGGGUUCUCUGCUCCGCUCUCACCAUCGCAAUGUAUGCUGCACCCAUGGCCGCAAUGAGGACAGUGGUGAAGACCCGGAGCGUGGAGUACAUGCCCUUCUCCCUGUCCUUCUUCCUCUUCCUCAACGGCGGCAUCUGGAGCGUCUACUCCCUGCUCGUUAAGGACUACUUCAUCGGGAUCCCCAAUGCCAUGGGUUUUGUGAUGGGCACGGCGCAGCUGGCGCUCUACAUGGCGUACCAGAACAAGAAGAAGCUCGCGGCGCUCAAGGAGGAGGACGAGGAGAAAGGGGUGGUGCACCUGAUGGGCCAGGUAGAGUUGGGCCAGGCCAAGGUCCCGUCGUUGAAGAAGGGGUUGAGCCUGCCGAUGCCCUCGUCCCUGCCGUCGCCGUUGCACGGGUUUGGCAACCUCAUCAAGGCCUUGUCCGCCACCCCCUUGGAGCUGCAGUCUGUCUUGAACCAGCACGAGCGCGUCGGUGACGACGACGACGACGGGCAUGCCUACUCGUCCAAGUGA
RNAcentral lists this ribosomal RNA (900 nucleotides) under Triticum aestivum (bread wheat). RNAcentral describes it as "partial small subunit ribosomal RNA". The record is from RNAcentral. Lineage: Eukaryota; Viridiplantae; Streptophyta; Magnoliopsida; Poales; Poaceae.